UGGCUCUCGCAUCGAUGAAGAACGCAGCGAAAUGCGAUAAGUAAUGUGAAUUGCAGAAUUCAGUGAAUCAUCGAAUCUUUGAACGCAUCUUGCGCUCCUUGGUAUUCUGAGGAGCAUGCCUGUUUGAGUGUCAUGAUAUUCUCAAUUCCUUCAGUUCUUGCUGAAGUGACAUUGGAUUUGGAGGCUAUUGCAGGAAUCCUUCUGGAUGCCAGCUCCUCUCAAUUGCAUUAGUGUGAAUGUCCACUUCAUGCUCAGUGUGAUAAUUAUCUGCAUUGUGCUUGAGUGAUACAGCUUCAUGCUUCGAACUGUCGCAAGACAUUUCAUUGACUUCUGACCUCAAAUCAGGUAGGAUUACCCGCUGA
RNAcentral lists this unclassified non-coding RNA (362 nucleotides) under uncultured fungus. Its description in RNAcentral is "partial contains 5.8S ribosomal RNA and internal transcribed spacer 2". The stretch from base 1 to 133 matches the Rfam family "5.8S ribosomal RNA", at positions 22 to 154 of the family's 154-position model. The record is from RNAcentral. Lineage: Eukaryota; Fungi.